GGGCGGUUAGCUCAGUGGUUAGAGCGCCUGCUUCACACGCAGGAGGUCACAGGUUCGAGACCUGUACCGCCCACCA
RNAcentral lists this transfer RNA (76 nucleotides) under Dehalococcoidales bacterium. RNAcentral describes it as "tRNA-Val". It matches the Rfam family "tRNA". Rfam says of the family: Transfer RNA (tRNA) molecules are approximately 80 nucleotides in length. Their secondary structure includes four short double-helical elements and three loops (D, anti-codon, and T loops). The record is from RNAcentral. Lineage: Bacteria; Bacillati; Chloroflexota; Dehalococcoidia; Dehalococcoidales.